This 3463-nucleotide long non-coding RNA is filed under the name Panax ginseng (ginseng). RNAcentral's name for it is "long non-coding RNA (PGIN_LNC016123)". Lineage: Eukaryota; Viridiplantae; Streptophyta; Magnoliopsida; Apiales; Araliaceae. The record is from RNAcentral.
AUGGUUCAUACUAUUAUUUAAACAGAAAAUUACUAUUUUUACAACAAAAAUUAAAUUAAAUUAAAAAUUAAUAUGUUUACGUUAUCUCAUUCACAGGAUUAGGAUUCCAUAUUGACUCGUCUCUAGCAACACAUUAGGAAAUCUAGAACAUUCUACAAGUGCCUGGAGAUAUCAGUCGAUUUGAUACCAGUUUUUGCAUAUACUUGUACCGGUUGAUUCUUGAAAUUACACAUGAACGUUUUCUUGAAAUUACCGACUUGUUCUGUAAGAAAGAAAAAAAAGAAAAAGAAACAGAGCGAGCAAUUUGAUUAAGUGAUUAAGAAACAGAGGAGAAGGAGCUUUUGAUGUGUUGGGGACGUUAUUGAUGGAAUACUUUCCCUCUCCAGUCUAAAUUCAUGCAUGACCGAGUUGGUUUUUUCUUCUCUUGGAGCCCUUCCUUUGUAGAAAUUAAAACCAAAGUUUUCUUCAUCUCUACAAGCUUACGAGUUACGAGGCAGAUUCAUCAACAUAUUCAAAAAUAAAAUUAAACAAAAAUCAUUCAUCAACAUAUACAAUAAUAACAUUAAACGAAGAACAAGAAAACAUAACACUUACAAGGCAGAUCUCAAGGCUCAACCUUGUUCAAAUCAACCUCCCAAAUUGUUGUAGCUGAAAAGUUGCUGUAACAAACCUUUGGGGACAGGUAAUAUAUGAGUUAUUAGCUCUUCAUCUCUCGGUACAUACUGGUUCCGUACCGUAUGUACCCAACUUCCAAAACACCGUCGCUAUCCAAAUCGAUAUCGAAUAACCGGUAUAUAUUUAGCCCAAAUAUCGAAAAAAAUGCCCAUCCCUUAGAUUUUGGUGUAUAGAACAUGGAAACAUUCUUGCAUGUUUUAUGUUAGUGGGUUAGGUAGAAAGAGAACGAUGGAAAAUGUGCAAGAGGUAUAUAUAUUUCCCCAAUGUUGCUAACACAGACGCACCCAACUGAGAGAGAAAAGAGAAAGGGUGGGUGAAACUAAUCCUAUUCGAGAGAGGAUGGAAAAGAUAGAAAUCCCAUCAUCCGAGAGAGGAUGGAAGAGAGAGUAAUCUCAUUCAGGAGAAGGAUGGGGGUUCACAUGGUUAUUGUAUUGAGGUAAUUUGAGUGUGUAUUCAAAUUAAGAUAUAUUUGUAUUCUCUUAGUUUAUUAGUUUAUUAUAGUAAAUUUUUUGAAUAUCUUUCCGUAAUUUUUACCUUUUAAUUUUAGAAAAAAUUUCACGUAAAAAUAUUGAUGUCUUAUGCUUAGUUAUUUUGGUAUCUCAUUAUUUAUUAUUAUUUUGGUGAAACUAUAAAUUUAAUUUAUUUGGCAAUAAUUUAUUGUUUAAUUUAUCAACAAGUAUUUAAGAGAUAAUUUUUCCCAACAUUUAGUUCAUUAUGUAUCCAAAUAAUAAGUCAUAAUCCAAGGUGACUUAAUCACACAGUAUAUAAUAAUUACGACUUAUAUCUAUCUUUAGGAGAAGGAGAAGAAUUACUAAUUUAUCUUUACUUUCUAUCAACCCUUACUUUUUUUUCCACUAUGUUUUAACAUCACAAAAUGUGUAUACUAAACAUCACAAAAUGUGUAAACUUAGACCACUAGUAAUAAUAAUAGUCAUCAGCGUUCUCUAACACUAUUAGAAUGUAAUAAAUCUAGGGAUCUAGGGCUUUACACUAUUAUAAUAUAGUAAAUUUAGGGUUUAGGGGGACUAGGGGAGCUUGUAAAAAGGACUAGUAGGAAGAAGUUAGGACAACACAAUGUUAUUAUCACAUAAAAAAAUGUCGCAUAAUUCUCACAUACACACAUGUGUAUUGUGGGCCCCCGCCUGACAUGUGAGACUCACAAUAUGUAUAUGUGUGUAUGUGAGUAUUAUGUGACUACUUUUAAUUUCUGACGCGUUUGCUGAAAGGAAUAGACAAAUGAGCCUUUUACCACUAGCCACUAGGCGAUCUUUGUCCAUCAUAUAUAACAUGAUUCUUAUUAUUGGUUAUGUAUUAUUUGAACUUGUAAGUAUUAAACUCUUUAAGAUUUUACCUCGUCACUUGACCGUCCAUAAAUGAAACCAUUCCUGCUAAGAUUUUUGGAAUCCAAGCGGCUAUAACCUAAGUCAUCAUUUUUUCGCAUUCUUGCAAAUAAUUUGCCCAACGGUCAUUUUCGUUACAAAAAUUAUACCUGCCAGUUCGAAAUUUGAUUUUAACAUAAUCAACUAUUAUUAAACCUUAAAACAAACUUAAGUAUGAUGUAAUGUCUCAUUCUGUAACAUCUAAAACAAAAGAUCAAAUCCCAAUCUAGAAAGACUCGUGCCCUAAACAGGUGGUGUUGAACAUUAUUACCACAACUUCAAAUAGAGCACUUUCAGUUUUACAGUGGCCAUCAACUAGUACGAUUUGCAUUCUACACAAUUUGGCUUACUUUUUGUCAAUUAUUAUUUCCUAAUAAUAAAUUUUCUCCUAAAACUUUAACAUUGGGAAAAAAAAAUUCAUCCAAAAAGGUCCUAGUUUGUGAAAUUAAACUUUAAUACUAAAAAAAUGUCGAGAAAAAGUAGGAAGUACAAGAAAUACACACAAUGAGUGGAAAUAACAAUCUACAGGUUUCUAGAGAGAGCAGAUCCUCUGUCCCCUCACUUAAAUUUUGACACAUGUCUUUUUAUUUAAUUUUAAAAUUAAUUAGUAUUAAGUAAGAGAUUAGGUGUCAACAUUUAAGUGGAGGGACACAAGGGACAGAAAAAUUGGGGACAGAGGAUCUGCUCUUGUUUCUAGUAGAACUGAGCAAAAAACGGGUAUAACCGAAUUAUCGAACCGAACCGAAAUAAUUUAACCGAAAUUUUCUGAUAAUUCGGUUAUUUUCAAUAUUUCGGUUAUAUCCGAAUUUUUUUACGAUUUUCGGUUAGUUUGUAUGGGUUUUACUUUUGGGUUAUUCGGUUAAACCGAAUAACCGAACAACACUUUACUAAAUUCUCAGCGAGUCAGCAUUUCAGCCCAUUCAAUAUUCAUUACUAAUUUAGCACUUUACUAAAUUCUCGAAGACUCCAAGUCUAAGUCUCUCAGAUUCUGUUUUCCAUCCGCUUAGACUCGAACUCUCAGACCUCAAUCUCAGUCUCUCAGAUCAGAUCUUUGAUCUCUCUCAUCUCAAGUCUCAAGUCUCGAUUGUCUCGUUUUCUCGAACUCUCAGUCUCAGAGUCUCAAAUUUGAGAUCUCUCAAGCCUCAAGUCUCGAACUGCCAAGUCUUUUAGAUGGAAAACAAACUGCUUUCAAACACAAUGGCUGUGACUGUGAGAACUGAGAAGUCAGGUUAGCAGCAGUUGUUGCCAUAUGCUAAUGUGUUGGCUGAAAUAAUACUAUAUAUCUCUUGGAAUCGAGUUUGAAUCUUUCUUUGUUUUCUUUCCAGCAUGGCAGUAAAGACAAACUCAACAACAGCAACAGCAAAUACUCAACAGCAGGAACACUGUGCUCAACACUCAACAAGUAUUAU